ACGGUCCAGACUCCUACGGGAGGCAGCAGUGGGGAAUUUUGGACAAUGGGGGCAGCCCUGAUCCAGCAAUGCCGCGUGAGUGAAGAAGGCCUUCGGGUUGUAAAGCUCUUUUGUCAGGGAAGAAACGGGUUCGGAUAAUACCUGGGCCUAAUGACGGUACCUGAAGAAUAAGCACCGGCUAACUACGUGCCAGCAGCCGCGGUAAUACGUAGGGUGCAAGCGUUAAUCGGAAUUACUGGGCGUAAAGCGUGCGCAGGCGGUUUUAUAAGUUUGUCGUGAAAGCCCCGGGCUCAACCUGGGAAUGGCGAUGAAGACUGUAAGGCUAGAGUGUGUCAGAGGGGGGUAGAAUUCCACGUGUAGCAGUGAAAUGCGUAGAUAUGUGGAGGAACACCGAUGGCGAAGGCAGCCCCCUGGGAUAACACUGACGCUCAUGCACGAAAGCGUGGGGAGCAAACAGGAUUAGAUACCCUGGUAGUCCACGCCCUAAACGAUGUCUACUAGUUGUCGGGUCUUAAUUGACUUGGUAACGCAGCUAACGCGUGAAGUAGACCGCCUGGGGAGUACGGUCGCAAGAUUAAAACUCAAAGGAAUUGACGGAA
RNAcentral lists this ribosomal RNA (599 nucleotides) under bacterium enrichment culture clone F61x_D58_T3_B08. RNAcentral describes it as "bacterial SSU rRNA". It matches the Rfam family "Bacterial small subunit ribosomal RNA", at positions 326 to 918 of the family's 1533-position model. The record is from RNAcentral.